Molecule: long non-coding RNA, 2130 nt
Organism: Alligator mississippiensis (American alligator)
Lineage: Eukaryota; Metazoa; Chordata; Crocodylia; Alligatoridae
Exons: 3
Source: RefSeq, a predicted model, not a curated record
UUUGGAGGCAGGACCAUAUGUGCAGCAACUGAAAAACAUAGAGGGUCUGAAUUAAAAGCAUUCUGUAGAACCCUCGUAUACAAUAAGUUUUAUGCAGUGAUGAACCCAUUGGUACAUUCCAGCCCAUAGAAAUGGCUGGUCCAGCCCACAAUGAAGCUCUGCAGGACAGAUGCCCCACCUCCACAGGCCAGAUCCAUGUUAUCAUUACCACUACCACCAUCAUUACCUCAUUCUUUGAAAUACUGGAGAUAAAGAGAUUAAGACAGAAGAAAGGAAUCUCUUGGAAAUACACAACUGUGAUGAAUACAUAUGUCAGCUGGGUGCUGCUGUGAUGAAUUUCAGGGAAGAUGAAAAGGGUUUCCCUGGCAGCAAAAAGUUGGUAACAUAAAGAAGAGAAAAUGAAGCAAACCAGUUGUAUUUAUCUUUACAUCAUAACAGACAACCUUACUCCUGUUUUUGUGAUGUUUUCCCCGCUCUUAUCUUAGAAGGUUUUCUAUUUGAUAUGAAGUAGUAAUAAGAAAAGGAAUAAAAUAAAAAAUCUGGAUACAUUUGUCUUUCACAAUUCGUUAUAAAAGUGCCAGUGUGAUGCAUUUAAUGUGUCCUGAUUUUACUCUUUGCAGAUGGCUAAGAUACAGGAAGGGCUUAUCUAAAUAUUUUGAAUAUAAUUGUGAUUUGAUAUAUCACCUUUCCUCUCCCUUCUACCGUAUAGCUCCAUUGUUGAGAUCAGCAAAGAGUCUCCAGGACCUUGAGGUAGGCCUGAUAAAUAAUACAACACUGGAACCAAUGGCAGUUUUGCAAUGACUUUAUUAGGUGCAGGUUUCAGCUUCUCUGGUGUGGGCUGUAUGAGCCAGAUCCUAUUCUACCUAGUAGGUGUCUAAGUGACAUGUCCAACACUAUCCACCCUGCUUUAGUCCUUGAAAACCUACCAAAUGGAUCAAUAUUUGUAAUGCCUUAAGUUAUGGACUAAGCCUAAAUCAUAAAAAACAGCAAGGAGGAGGAGGACCCAUUCACCUUUUACAAUAAUGUCUUUUUCAGGGAUGUGAACAGAGUGGAAUAGCAUUACUAACAAAUAGAAGAUCUGGCCCAGUGUUUUUAAACUUGGUCUCUAACUUGGUCUUUCACAACCUGAGUCUGUAAACUUUCAUGCUAGAAAAAGUCUAUUUUCCCAGGCUGUUUAAGAAGGAUUGGUUAGGGACUGGAGUGGUUAAAUUCACAGGCACUUCUUUUGCAUGGUUUAAUGAAUUAAAUAGGUGCCCAGAAAAUAGGAUUUGGACUUAUAUAUACACAUAGGCACCUCUCUUAUAAUAGUUUCAUAGUUGUUUGGGGCUGGAAGGGACCUUACAGAAGAUCAGGUCCAGCCCCCCUGCACUUGGGUAGGAAAGACUGCUGGGAUCAGGUGACCCCAGCAAGAUGGGCAUCGAGACGCUUUUUGAAGAUCGCCAGGGUGGAUGACUGUAUCACCUCCGGUGGGAGCCUGUUCCAAACCCUUGGCACUCAGCUUGUAAAGAAGUCUUUCCUUAUGCCUAGCCUGAAGCGGUCUUCAAUCAUGCAUUAAUUCAACUAAAUACAUGCUAUAGUAAUACUCCCAAAAUAAUUUUCACUGUGUUGGGCGCUGCAUGACAAUGACAGAUAAUCCCUGUCCUGGAGAGCUUACAAUAUAAAAACAAGCUAUAUGUUAACUGCUACAAGAAAAAAGUGGCCCAGCACAUUAAAUACAAGUUAUGGAAGCAUUAUUCUAGUAUAACAUUUUAAAAAAUCUUGUACAUUUUGUGAAAGUGUAGGAACUUUUUGCAAUAUAAAACUGCUCUUUAUUUUGUAUGUAGUUAUAUAGAACAUUUUAAGAAUUUGUUCAAUUGUAUUUGAACCAACCUACAUUUUUGGUAAAAUGCUUGCUUAUUUUAUAAUUUUACUUAAAUGUUGUAGUAGUAUACAUUCACUGGAAAAAGUAUAGAGAAUAACCUCUAAAUCAAUCCAUGAAAGGACGGUUGUAGUUAAACUCAUAUAAUUACAGAUGUUAGCACUGAAUAGUCCCUAAAGUAAUGAAUGUAGUGUUCUCCAUUGCCAUGAGACAAACUGGCUAAAUUUAAACUUGUAUAUUGUGUAGUAGCAAAAUUAAACUGAGAUGUUGGA